AGGGUUCGAUUCUGGCUCAGGAUGAACGCUUGCGGCAGGCUUAACACAUGCAAGUCGAGGGGUAACAGAGAGUGCUUGCCCUUUGCUGACGACCGGCGCACGGGUGCGUAACGCGUAUGCAACCUACCUUCUACUGGGGGAUAGUCAAUACAAAUGUUGAAUAAUACCCCAUACGAUCUUCAAGAGGCAUUACUUGAAGAAGAAAGCUCCGGCGGUAGAAGAUGGGCAUGCGUCCUAUUAGUUAGUUGGUGAGGUAACGGCUCACCAAGACCACGAUAGGUAGGGGCCCUGAGAGGGGGAUCCCCCACACUGGUACUGAGACACGGACCAGACUCCUACGGGAGGCAGCAGUGAGGAAUAUUGGACAAUGGAGGCAACUCUGAUCCAGCCAUGCCGCGUGCAGGAAGACUGCCCUAUGGGUUGUAAACUGCUUUUAUACAAGAAGAAACCUACUUACGUGUAAGUAGCUGACGGUACUGUAAGAAUAAGGAUCGGCUAACUCCGUGCCAGCCGCCGCGGUAAUAC
This 525-nucleotide ribosomal RNA is filed under the name uncultured bacterium. Its description in RNAcentral is "bacterial SSU rRNA". It matches the Rfam family "Bacterial small subunit ribosomal RNA", at positions 8 to 526 of the family's 1533-position model. The record is from RNAcentral.